GACGAACGCUGGCGGCGUGCUUAACACAUGCAAGUCGAACGGAAAGGCCCUGCUUUUGUGGGGUGCUCGAGUGGCGAACGGGUGAGUAACACGUGAGUAAACUGUCCUUGACUUUGGGAUAACUUCAGGAAACUGGGGCUAAUACAGGAUAGGAGAUCCUGCAGCAUGGUGGGGGUUGGAAAGUUUCGGCGGUUGGGGAUGGACUCGCGGCUUAUCAGCUUGUUGGUGAGGUAGUGGCUUACCAAGGCUUUGACGGGUAGCCGGCCUGAGGGGGUGACCGGCCACAUUGGGACUGAGGUACGGCCCAGACUCCUAUGGGAGGCAGCAGUGGGGAAUAUUGCACGAUGGGCGGAAGCCUGAUGCAGCAACGCCGCGUGCGGGAUGACGGCCUUCGGGUUGUAACCCGCUUUCGCCUGUGACGAAGCGUGAGUGACGGUAAUGGGUAAAGAAGCACCGGCUAACUACGUG
This 468-nucleotide ribosomal RNA is filed under the name uncultured bacterium. Its description in RNAcentral is "partial 16S ribosomal RNA". It matches the Rfam family "Bacterial small subunit ribosomal RNA", at positions 28 to 507 of the family's 1533-position model. The record is from RNAcentral.